ACACGACUACAAUUAGAUACCCGGGUAGUCCUAGCCGUAAACGAUACUCGCUAGGUGUCGGCCACGGUGCGACCGUGUCUGGUGCCGCAGGGAAGCCGUGAAGCGAGCCACCUGGGAAGUACGGCCGCAAGGCUGAAACUUAAAGGAAUUGGCGGGGGAGCACAACAACGGGUGGAGCCUGCGGUUUAAUUGGACUCAACGCCGGACAACUCACCGGGAACGACAGCAAUAUGUAGGCCAGGCUGAAGACCUUGCCUGAAUCGCUG
This 266-nucleotide ribosomal RNA is filed under the name uncultured archaeon. RNAcentral's name for it is "partial 16S ribosomal RNA". It matches the Rfam family "Archaeal small subunit ribosomal RNA", at positions 717 to 982 of the family's 1478-position model. The record is from RNAcentral.